RNA transcript from Episyrphus balteatus (marmalade hoverfly), 3227 nucleotides. It is a transcript of the gene named diuretic hormone receptor, with no coding region annotated. The transcript has 13 exons. The record is from RefSeq and is a predicted model, not a curated record. Lineage: Eukaryota; Metazoa; Arthropoda; Insecta; Diptera; Syrphidae.
UUAUUAAAAAAAAAAAAAAAUAAUAAAACUAGUUUCGUGAUAAGAUACAAUAAAAAAGAUAAAAAAUCCAAAGACAGGUGGCCUAAACUCAAAAUAUCUAUUUUUUAAUGCUUUUGUUUAGUGCGGUUGCCAUAAAAAAAAUAUGCAUUCAUCUGUUGAUUUAAUUCAAAAAAUAAAAUGAUUAAAAACAAUUUAUAGAUACUUUAUAGCAAGCCAAGUCGGCAGGCAGGCAAUUAACCGGAGUUCAAAUGUGAUAAAAGCAACCGACCAUAAGUGAUGAUGAGUGAUGGAUGCGGUUGAUGGGUGCGGUAUUUAAUUAUAUUUUACAAAUUGGAAUAAAUCGUCAUUCAUCAAUUCCAUAAUUGUAUGCAACCAAAUGGACCAUUUGACCAUUUUUUUUCCCGAGUCUUUCUUUUGUUUUUUUUUUUUUUGUUGUUGCCAUUUUUGUAUGUAAUUGCAUCGUAACUUGGUAGAAUAAAUACAAGCAAAUUGUGUUGUUGUUGUUGUUUUUGUAAUGAAACUUGGACCGGAAAAUACCACAUAAAUAUAUCUACGAUCCACUACCGCACCGGAAGCUUGGGACCACAAGUUGGAAUACCUUUAUAUGGACGUAGGAGGCUUAUCGCUAAAUUUGAAGAGAAAAAAAAAAUAAAUAACGAUUCCUGGAGUUGCGGUUGUGGAAAGGACAUUUUGAUCCUUUAUCCAUAAAUAUUCAUUAAUUUAAAGAUCGAAAAUAAAAACAACAAGAAUCACCGCAAAGCCGGUGCUACUGUUUUAUUUAAUUAGAAACAAAUGAAAAUGUCGAAAAAACACUUCUACAUAGAAAUGAUGAAAAAAACAAAAACAAUUACAAUUACAAUAAUAACAACAACAACAAUAUCAUCAUCAUCGACCGACGCGACGCCAUCGGAGAAAAACAUCAGAAAGAAGUUAAAUAAAGGAAAAACAAAUAAUAAGUGUGUGUAAUAUUUUUUUAUCGACGACAACGCUGCUGCCGAGGGCCGCCCCAACGACAAAAGCGACGACGAGAUACUUUUGCGUGUGGUGCACGAUUAAAAUUAGAAAAAGAAGAAAAAAAAAAUAAAACAAAAACAAAAAAAAAAGUAUCUACAGGUUUGCUGAUUUUUUUAUUCGUAAUUUUUUUUGGUUGAUGAUUCUACUUCGUUUGCCAAUGUAUCUCAUAAUAAUCUUGCGGUCUAAUAAGGCGAAACCAAUGUGUUACUGAAUACCGCUUUCAACGGUUUUUUAUCAAAAAUAUUUAAAAAAAAUGUCUCCCCCGUUACCAAUUUGUGAUAGAAUUUGUUAAUACGGAAAAGAAAACUACGAAUUUAGGGGCGGAAAAUAUUGUUUUUAAUUAAAAAAAAAAAUAGAGAGAAAAAAAAUUUAAUCGUGAUUAGUGCUGAAUUUUACUCUCAAAUUAGAAGUCCAUGUAAAUGAAUCCUUUCCUUAAUUUAUUCAAAAAAGUGAAGUUCUAACUUAUUAAUUCCAAAAGUUAUAAGAGAAAAAGGAUACAAAAAAUACCUACAGCAUCCUUUUAACUCUUCGGAAUGAGUAUCCAUGAAGUUUUAGUGUGCAAAUUACGAAAAUUUUAAAAAUUCAAAAUGGAAAAUUUAGAUCUCAGUGAGUUGGUGCGUUUGGUCGAGGAUGUGGAUGGCGGUGAAAUUAUGCGCUCCGAAUUAGUUCGAGCUGCUGUUAACAAAAGUGCAGAAAUGCAAUGUCUGUUGCAGCAAUCUGAAGAGAAUAAGGAUCCAAGUAGUGCAAUUGCAGGAUGUCCGAUAUCCUUUGAUUCAGUUCUAUGUUGGCCAAGAACACCUCCAGGCGUGCUGGCCAUUUUGCCGUGUUUCGAAGAAUUCAAAGGCAUCCAGUAUGAUAGUACACAAAAUGCAACAAGACUUUGUUUCCACAAUGGAACGUGGGCCAAUUACACAAACUAUGACAAAUGUCACCAUGCACCUCCGUCACCAAUACCAGACUUCUCACCCAGCAUAGAAUUGCCAUCACUUAUCUAUUGUUCGGGAUAUUUUUUAAGUCUAUUAGCUUUAACUUUAGCCUUAAUUGUUUUUCUUUACUUUAAAGACUUAAAAUGCCUUCGGAAUACAAUUCAUGCGAAUUUAUUUUUAACAUAUAUUUUAUCAGCGCUCUUAUGGAUUUUAACAUUAUUCCUUCAAGUUAUGACGGAUCAUCCCAGCCAAUCAGGAUGCAUAACCUUAGUUGUACUUUUUCACUACUUCAAUUUAACGAAUUUCUUUUGGAUGUUUGUCGAAGGACUCUACCUAUAUACGCUGGUGGUGCAGACAUUUUCCAGCGAUAAUAUUUAUUUUGCGAUGUACGCGUUCAUUGGAUGGGGUUGUCCAGCCAUUAUUGUGUUAGUGUGGUCAAUAGCAAAAAUCUAUUCACCACCACUUGAGACUGAACGAUUUAAUGGGGUAAGUCCGUUUAUUGGUUCACUGAAGCUGGAAAUUGAAUGCUCAUGGAUGCGAGAGUCCCACAUCGAUUGGAUAUUCCAGGGACCAGCUUGUCUUGUUAUUUUGCUGAAUUUGAUUUUUCUCUUUCGUAUCAUGUGGGUACUUAUCACAAAACUGCGGUCAGCUAAUACCCAAGAAACCCGACAGUAUCGUAAGGCUUCAAAGGCUUUACUUGUCCUUAUACCUUUGUUAGGUAUAACCUAUUUGCUGGUGCUCUAUGGACCCGAAAAUGGUCUCGAGCGACAUGUUUUCGAAAUUCUACGAGCUUUUCUCAUUAGCACACAGGGAUUUUCUGUUUCCUUUUUCUACUGUUUUCUGAAUUCAGAAGUGAGAUUAGCACUACGGCAUCGAUUCGAACGGUGGCACGAUGCAAGAAAUAUAAGUUCGGAGCAAUCAAUGCGAAAUAGAAGAUACAGAUUUUCAAAGGACUAUUCUCUACGAUCAAGAACUGAGAGUUUACGGUGAGGGGAUGAGUUUUUUUUAUAAACAAAAACAAAUUUUAAGAAAAAAAACUUUGCUCGUGAUACCUUUUUUAUAUGUUCUAACAUCGACAAGUCCUGUGCCCGCAGCAAACAAUGAAUAAAAUUUGCACGAGAUAUUGUUCCUAUAAAAUUUACAAUUAAAUUUUGUUUUAAGACAUAUAACUCUUUUUCUACAUAAUUAUAAUAAAAACCAAAUACAUCGGUCCAUAUUUGUUAUAUAUAUAUACUUAUUUAUUUCUUUUUUUCUUAAAGAAUAAAUGUUAUAAUUUUUUUUUUAUAA